Molecule: small RNA, 3928 nt
Filed under: Pan troglodytes (chimpanzee)
Lineage: Eukaryota; Metazoa; Chordata; Mammalia; Primates; Hominidae
Description: processed transcript
Source: RNAcentral
CAACCUGGAAUGGGAUCAUCCUGAGCAUCCAAAUGGGAUCAUGAUUGGAUACACUCUCAAAUAUGUGGCCUUUAACGGGACCAAAGUAGGAAAGCAGAUAGUGGAAAACUUCUCUCCCAAUCAGACCAAGUUCACGGUGCAAAGAACGGACCCCGUGUCACGCUACCGCUUUACCCUCAGCGCCAGGACGCAGGUGGGCUCUGGGGAAGCCGUCACAGAGGAGUCACCAGCACCCCCGAAUGAAGCUACUCCAACCGCAGCUCCUCCCACAUUGCCCCCGACUACCGUGGGUGCGACGGGCGCUGUGAGCAGUACCGAUGCUACUGCCAUUGCUGCCACCACCGAAGCCACAACAGUCCCCAUCAUCCCAACUGUCGCACCUACCACCAUCGCCACCACUACCGUCGCCACAACUACUACAACCACUGCUGCCACCACCACCACCACGGAGAGUCCUCCCACCACCACCUCCGGGACUAAGAUACACGAAUCCGGUACUGCGCAUCGCCCAUGCUCCCCAUCCCCUCCUGGCCCGCCUCCCCAGCGGCCUCCAUACGAACCCACAGGCUCCCCCAGCGAGGAGGUGGGGUCUGGGGUGGUGUUUGCCACCACCUCCCUUUGUGUUUCCUUUGGAAACUCACCCGUGACUAGAUGCUCAGUCCCGUAGCCUGGAGGCCCAGAUCUCCCCAGCCUGGCCCUGACACACACACACUCCUUGGGUGGUCCUCCACCACUCAGUACCCCAAAUUCUAGCUUCAGAUCCCUGUUCCUUAACAGACGGCCAAGCUCCUUGGGCAGGGCCCCCAGGUUCCAGAUGUUAGGACCGCCUCCAGCUACAUGUCAGGCAGUCAGCUCAGAGCCGAGCACUCCAGAAGGAAGACAGUGUGAGGAGGGGAAAAGGACCAGAUACUGUACAACUGGCCUGAGGGAGUUUCCUGCCCUGGCCACGUCUGCAUCCGGCCUAGAGGCUGAGCAGCAGGGAGUGGCUGUGCCAGGCAGCUCUGUUCCCAGAACCCCUGUUCCUUCCUUGCCUCUCCUUCCGCGAGGAACACUUACAGACUUUUCUUUUACAAAGUCAGAGCUUCCAGGAAACUGUAUUGCCAAGGAGGCCCUUAAUGCCAACUCACAUUCCCCAAGCCCUCAAAUGCAGGCAUGGAGGGAAAAUUACGGGCAUUCUCAGAGCCCCUGGUAAGAAUCGAUCCCAGGGCUGGUACGCUGAGCCACGAGAAUGCACUGUUCCUGUAUCAUGCAGCCAGGCCAGGCAGCUCUGUUCUUCCAGUUCGGGGAGACCCCAGGGGAAUUCAGCGAUACUUCCAAGCACUGAGCAUCAGUCUUUUAUUACCAACAAGGGGAAGGUCUGUAGCUUCCUGAGCUCACAGGCCAGCUAUAAAAUCAGCGUGAGGCAGCCAGGAAGCACCCAGAACUCUUCUGCCACCGUUGUAGAAUUGUAGGACCCAGUGGGCACCACCUUUGUCUCCUGGGAAAGUCCCUUUACCUUCCAAGGCCUCCUUUCUCCCACCCUGCUCCACUUUUCUCGGCCUCCUGAAUGAGGAUGGAGGCUUAAUAGACAUGAGAGGAUUUUGUUUUCAGUUCAGUGACAUAGAGUUAAGUGAGCUGUCAGGGAAGACGAGAGGCAUAGCUGCUGUGAGCUCCUGAGACCCUGAAAAUGCUGGUUUGCUUCACAGGUGCCAUCUAGAACUUAACAGGCACUUUCGGAAAAAGUUGGCUGAGGAGGAACCUGCUGGGGUAUUAGAAGCUGCCACCAGCGGGUUGGUGAUUGAUGUUCUUUGGGGCCACGGUGAGGCAUCUUUUUCAUUAAAGUGGGGCUUUGUGUCCUACAAGUGCUUUGAGUUCAGAAAAAAGAUGAACCAAAAAUGAAGAAAGGAAGUGGCUCUUGCUUCCCCAGCAAAGAGUUACUUGCCUUCUGAAACACAAGCCUUGUUGCCACAUAGGACCAGCCCCUCCAGAGUCUUACUCCUCAAGUUCUGUGAGACGCUGCAGAGGACCUGGCCAUGGCCUUGAUCUUAUCUAGACCUUGGGAACACCCCUCAACCAUCCUCACCUCACUUCAGCAGAAUGGCUGUCUAGGACUUUAAAAAUGAAUGUUCACCUUUAUCGUGCCUUACAUCUUGGGAAAAGAUGUUUCAUAAGUUUACUCUUCUCAGGGUGAAAUAGGCCUUUUUAUUUGUCCUUCGCCUGUCUUUUUCAGAUUUCAAGGGAGAUUCCUUAAUUCUUACAUUCCAGGAGUCAGUGAGACAAUCUAUGCUUCCCCUCCCUGACCCUUUUUGUGUUUCUCGGUGUUGAUAUUUCACAUGCUUGGUCCUUCUCUUUGAAAUUUUUAGUGCUUCCGGGUCAUCAUCCUGAUCUCUCUGUGGCAAUGCCUUCCUCCAGCUCCCACCUCUAAAUCAUCUUGGCUUCCCACUGCCUGGCCUUUUCUAAAAGAACCCCAAUCUUCAUGGCCUUUAAAACAGCCAGAUUUGAGUCAAUUUCAUAUUGGUGGCCAGACUGUUUAAACACAAAUUCUCUAGCUAUUUACAGGGCUCAGAGCUGAGGAGGAAGAAACUCAAGUCCCCAAAUAAUGACUAAUCACAAUUCAUUCUCGCCAGCAAGAGCCAUGAAAUUCUAAGGAGCUGGAAUUUGGGAUGGCUUCAAGUGGCCAGUACAAUUGAAGCGUCUGGCAGACAGGCAAAGAAGCCUACCUUCUGCCCUCCCCAUGGUGCCAUCAAUGGAAUCACUUUCUUGGCCCCUCACUUAAUAUGAAUCAUAUUCACCUGGGGCAACCAACACCUGACAAAGUUGUAGUGCAGAAGGCUCCUCUUUGAAGUGAAGACCAGGAGAUCUUUUAUCACUUCCCCAGCCCUGCAGGCUCAGUCACAUGUCAAAUAGAUAAUGAAUAAAUGCAUCGCCAAUGCACUCUAUUCAUUUAUUUUUGACAAGUGAGUUGGUGACAGUGCCCCCUUGCAUGCUAAUAAAAUAUACAGCAGCCACACUUGUAAAGUCUUUGAAAUACAAGGCUUCAUGUGAGUACUCCACUAUUAAAUCUUUGCUGGAAAAUGGGGUAACCAGACUGCUGGGACUCUUGCAAAAUGAUUACGUUUGAAGAUUAGUGCCAUUCUCCUCUACACAGGCUAUGGUUUCAGACAGCACCAUGGCUUUGAUAAAGUGGCUCCCGGCUCAUAGGAACUUGAUAAUUAAUGUCCUCUGUGUUGCAUAGAGAUCAGGCAUCAAAAACUCGGUGGUGCUGAGAAGCCAACAGAACAGGAUUCUUCUGGUAUCUGGACCACUGAGGGCUGGUUGUCAAGGAGUUAUCUUCUCUUGGUCGCACCUAGUCCACGUGAGGGAGGGGAAGGCUUCACAUUGUCUUUACUUGGGCCCCUGAGAUUCUAGGCUUUAGACAAUCUGAAGCUGUUAGACCUAUCAGCCAGGCUUCUCUCUGACCAAGAACAACCCAAGGGGCUCCUUAGACCAGCCUCACCUGUCUGGAUCACCAUUCUCCUCCAGCUUCAAAAGUCCAUCCUUCCUGCAAAUCUCAUCAAGACUCGCGGCACUUAAAGAUAACCCUCUCCUUCCUGCAGCACUUCUAUGCUUGAAGGGGAAGGGGCUGGCACACAUCUUCUCUGUGUGGCCUCCUCCUCCUGGCCACACGGCCUUUUUCCUGGCCCCUUUCCUUACACUGUUGACAUGACAAGGGAUCUGAAAAGGGAAUAAGUCCAGGUUAAAGCCUCAAAUGGCACAGAUCAAAACCCACUCUUUCUACAAAAAUUUGCCGGGCAUGGUGGCGGGGGCCUGUAAUCUCAGCUACUUGGGAGGCUGAGGCAGGAGAAUCGCUUGAACCUGGGAAGUGGAGGUUACAGUGAGUCGAGAUCGCACCACUGUACUCCAGCUUGGGCAACAGAACAAUACUCCAUCUCAAAAAAAAAACAAAAAA